This 673-nucleotide ribosomal RNA is filed under the name uncultured Sebacinales. RNAcentral describes it as "eukaryotic LSU rRNA". It matches the Rfam family "Eukaryotic large subunit ribosomal RNA", at positions 201 to 860 of the family's 3401-position model. The record is from RNAcentral. Lineage: Eukaryota; Fungi; Basidiomycota; Agaricomycetes; Sebacinales.
GCUCCUAGAGGGUGAGAAUCCCGUAUAUGGCACGGACUCCCGGCACUCUGUGAUACACUCUCAACGAGUCGAGUUGUUUGGGAAUGCAGCUCAAAAUGGGUGGUAAAUUCCAUCUAAAGCUAAAUAUAGGCGAGAGACCAAUAGCGAACAAGUACCGUGAGGGAAAGAUGAAAAGCACUUUGGAAAGAGAGUGAAACAGUACGUGAAAUUGUUGAAAGGGAAGCGUUUGAAGUCAGUCGCGUCUGUCGGGAUUCAGCCUGGCUUCUGCCUGGUGUACUUCCCGUCCGACGGGUCAGCAUCAGUUUUGACCGAGAGAAAAAGGCUUGGGGAAUGUGGCUGUCUUCWGGCAGUGUUAUAGCCCCUUGUUGUAUGUCUCGGUUGGGACUGAGGACGGCAGCGCGCCUUACGGCCGGGGUUCGCUCCCUCGGUACGCGCUUAGGAUGCUGGCAUAAUGGCUUUAAGCGACCCGUCUUGAAACACGGACCAAGGAGUCUAACAUGUGCGCGAGUGUUUGGGUGUCAAACCCGAGCGCGUAAUGAAAGUGAAAGGUUGGGAUCACGUACGUGUGCACCAACGCCCGGAGCAGACCUUCUGUGACGCAUCCGCGGCAGAGCGUAUAUGUUGGGACCCGAAAGAUGGUGAACUAUGCCUGAAUAGGGUGAAGCCAGAGGAA